UUUGCAAAGCCUAGGCCUAAGGUUUUCAAUGCAGCAAAUUUUUUCUGAAGUGUUGAAUGCAUCUCUUCGCUACACUCUCUCCCACUCAACUUAGGAAAGCCCUUCAAACCCUAAGUCAAAAUAAAAAACCGCCGCUCACUGAAGAAGGUGCAAACGGAUCUCUUUUCCUGUUAUUUGAAGAAAAUGAAAACAGUCGUUGCCCUCUGAAGUCAAAGUUGCUGCUCUCCUCCGUAUCCGUCACUGGCUAUUGAAGAAACCCACUGCUCAUCGUUGCUUUGGUAAAAAAGGUAAAGACAAAAAUAGCUUGUUUGAUUUUGAAAAUUAAAUUCAUUACUCCUCAAUUUUCCUUGAUUAAUUGGGUUUUUCCAUUUAUUAAGCAUCUUUAAAAUCGAAAUUGAUCUCUCAAUGCCUUGGGUUUUGACCUAAUUAAAAUUGGGGUUUUUUAAAAUUGAAAUUGGAGGUUAAUUUGCCUCAUUUUGGAUGAUGAAUUUAUCACUUAAGAAUCAAUUGAUUGAGUUGAGAUAAAAAAUAUCCCAUCUUAUUGUGUGUUUUCUCUCUUUAAAGUUUAUAGCAAAUUCUUGUAAUUUUAGGUUCAAAUAUGCACAUGGUAAAAAAUUAAGUUAACUGAAUGUUCUAAUGGAUUUGUAUGAUCAGUUUUUGCACAAUAUAUAUUAGGUUCGAUUAGGCCAAUUACUCAAACUCCCGUAAGUGACUUCGCAUGACUCCAAGCUUCGGAAAUGGUUGGCUUUUAAUAUUAGCAUUAGUGGAACUUAAUAAAUGCUUAACUGAUAUUAAUGAAAGUAUUUUUUAGAUUUUAUAUUUGAAGUUUAGUUGUAUAUGAAUGUUGUGAGUAAUAGCUUUCAUGGAAUUUUAUUGAAUGUUGUGACAAGUAUAGAUUUUACUAAAUGUUGUGCGUAAUAACUUUCAUGGAAUUUUAUUUUUGCUUCUGAAUUUUAAGUAACUUUUAAUAUGCUAUUUUUGUUCUUAUUGUGUUGAACUGACUAUGGCAGAAGAAUUCAAGUUUCACAAGAUGUGGCUAGGCUCGCAGCUGUAUUAUUACUGUUGGUAAAUGCUUCUUGCAAGUGUAGUUUGCUUUAGUAUUGAAUUUUUUAUUGUGACAGUAUUAUCUUCUAGAGUAUGUUGGAUUAGAGAAAGGAAUCUAUAGGAGGUAAGAGCUAGCUACUACUAAUACUUCUAUCAAUUCUAUUAAAAUGCUAUUACUUCUGUUGCUCAUCGUAUGUUUGUUAAAUGCUUGAAUGAAAGUUAUCUGCAUUUCUUAAUAAAGAGGAAAAAGAAAAUAUAGAGUAGUGUUAUUUUGGAUUUAACUUACUGAUUUUUUGGAUGCCUAUAUAUAUUGUUACUUGAAACCAAAUUUUUGUUUUGCUACUUUGGAAUUUCUAAGUGCUUGUUAAUGGAUUUGUGUUUUCUUUAUUAAUCUGAACGUAUUCUAAAGCAGGUCUAUAGCUACAAGUUGAUUACUUAUUUCCAUAACCUGGGGGUUUUUAUUUGAUUAUAAUUCUUGAUCAUCUUUUAUUUAUUCAUUUUUCAAUGAAUGAUAAUAGGUUUUAUCGUUACAAGACUUAGAUCUUUGAAAUAUCAAAAUUUUAGCUAGCUUCAUUUUUUUAAUUUUUCUUUUUGAGCUUUCAAUUUUCUUGAAUCAGUUUAUUAAUGCAUAAUUUAUCAGGUUUGCUUAAUAGUUAUUGGCAAUAAUACUUUGGUUCUGGCACACAUGGUAGAUGGCUUUUCAUCCACUAUUCUAGCUCUAGAAUUUAUUCAUUUUAUUUGUUAACUCUUGAUUAUCUUCAAAUACAGAUCUUUUAUCAAUCAAUUUAUUAGAGACCACUAUUGUGGGGCUUGUGGGAUUGCUCUCAAAGAUGAUGGGGGUGAUGUUUUGAAGAGGCUUUAUUUCCAGCAGUAGCAGCCAAUGGGUUUGAAUUUUGUCCUUUAUAUUCGUUGUUAAGGACUGUUUAUCUAAACCAUACAUAUUUUGUUUAUGAAUUAUACCAAAUUACGAAAAUACUUUUGGUUCUUUCAUAUUAAUUUUAAAUUCACAUUCUUUUGUAGUGUUAAUGGUAAUUAAAAUAUAUAUUUCCUAUGAAAUUAAAA
This 2106-nucleotide long non-coding RNA is filed under the name Citrus maxima (pomelo). Its description in RNAcentral is "long non-coding RNA (CMAX_LNC001374)". The record is from RNAcentral. Lineage: Eukaryota; Viridiplantae; Streptophyta; Magnoliopsida; Sapindales; Rutaceae.